Homo sapiens (human) is the source of this 2536-nucleotide long non-coding RNA. RefSeq lists it as uncharacterized. The transcript has 3 exons. The record is from RefSeq and is a predicted model, not a curated record. Lineage: Eukaryota; Metazoa; Chordata; Mammalia; Primates; Hominidae.
GCGGGAGGCGGUAGAGAGCGUCUAGGCCUGCGACGGGCGUGGCCGAGGAUGAAAGGCGCGUGGGGGGGACCCCGGGGCCGCAUAAUUACCGCCUCCUCCUAGCCAGGCGGGGGCCGGGACCGUGCACCUGGCGGCCGCCCCGCGGGGGCGCAGAAAUAGGACCGUCCUGGCAGAGGCUGCAGCCGACCCAGCUGGCCCCACUACGCGGGGCCCAGAGCCAGGGUGGGGGAUGCAGAGACCGGGCGUGCGGGUUGCCAGGUGUGGCGCACAUGUGUGCCCGUGGGCAGAGUACAGAGACACAAGCUUGUGUGGACACGAAUGUGUAGCUAUGUGCGAGUGCACACGGCGUGGUGAGUGCAGGGACCCCAGGCCGGCCUGCGUCGGUGCGCAGGGCAUAUAGGGGCGUGCACGCAGUCUUGGAGGUGUGUGCACAGAGCCCCCGGCACCCGCGUGUGUGCAAAGACACAGGAACCCGUCUGCGUGGCGCUGUGUGUGCAACCCAAGGAGGUGGGCGCUUGGACUCCAAAGUGUGCGCUUAUCCGGAUGUGGAUGUGGGGGCAGCCGGGGACAGGGCUGGGUGUGCGUGACUCGGGUGUGCCGGGACCCACAGAGCAUAUGUGUCCAUGCCUGGUGCUGUGACUCAUGUCCCUGGGGUGGGCACGCGUGCUGUGUCAGCGGGAGCCGCGCCUCCCAGGGCAGCCCAGAGUUCCAGAAGCCCAGAAGAGGAAGGGUUAAACCUGCCUCUUCCCCCAGCUCCCAGCUGAGUCCAGGGCUGGGAUCUCAGGUCCCCUGGGAGGCCCCGCGCGCCCCCCCCCGCCACCCCGCCCCACCCCCGGGCCUGAGAUUCAGGGGCUGCUACACAGGAAAGCCGGACUGAGCUGCUCCCCAGCCUCAGUUUCCCUCCUGUUCCUCGGAUGCGUUCGCAGGGUGGGUCGGCUUCCCUUCCCUGUGACUCACCCCCUCCCCACAGGCCUGAGUCACAGCUCAGGAAUGUGGAGGCUGGGAGGCCCUGUCUACUCCUGCCCCGGCCAGGCCAUCCCAGCAGCCCAAAGGCCAGGCCUGGGCCACAGAGGGACAUCCCCGGCACACACACCCCGCCACAGGCCACACACAGGUGCACACCCACACCCCUGCUUCGUACCCACUGGACACAAAGUCAUACACCAUGCACUCGGCAUCCGGAGACCCUGCCUGCCACAGGCACACGCAGUAGACAGGCUGGGGACAGGACGGACCCCGACCUGCCCUGGGGUCACACACCUGUUUGCUCUUUCAGUACACAGGAUACUGCAGAGACAUAGGUGACCCCUUCUGCUGGGGCGCAGACCAGCCAAGCACAUGUGGCGGACGUGUAGUGACGUGCACCCAUGCGUGUCUGUGACGUGCAGAUCAGGUGUCUGUGAAAGGCCCAAGACCCUGCAUGGCCCACGGACACCCUAAAGCUGACCGAGGCUUAGGCUCGCCUGCGUGGACGCUGGGGAUGCAGCCACCUAGUUUCUGAAACUGGGAAAAGGUCUGGGGGCUCCGGAGCCCCCACCUCCAUGCAGCCUCAGAUGUUGCUUAGCAACAGAUGCGCGCUCUGGGGUAGGCGGAUGGAUCUCCACCUGGGCCCAGUUCCCUCUCAUGGGACUACACGUCCUGUGCCUAACAGAGAGGUCAAAGAGUGGGGAUUUCCUGCAAAGCCAACCAGGCUCAGGGUGGCCCUGCCUAGGGUGGGAGGUAUCUCCAUGGCAACAGUGGAGUGGGACAAGUGGAGAGUAUUUCCCCACUCUCCCAGGCAGCUGCAGGGGCUCAGGACCUACGGAGUGCAAGUGAAGACACCUAUGUUGCAUCUUGCUGGAGAGGCACCUGGCACCUGCCCGCCCCAGCGUGCCUGGAGGGUUCCCACAUCCAGACGGACAGACGGGCCAGGGGACACCCGUCCAGGCAGCCAUGGCUGCUCAGCCACAGUCCCUGGAGGGUCAGGGGCCCAGCUGUGAGGCAGGCGGUGCCCAAGACGCUCUCUGGACCGCACUGCUUCAUCUGAGAGAAAGACUUUUGGAAGGCAUAGGUUGGGGCUCGCCUGGGAACCCCUCUCCAUCCCCCACCCAGACUCCAGCAGGCUGGAGUCAAGCUUGGCUGGGCAGCGGAGGAUCACUGGUGCACAGAGGGGUGAGUGGCUCCGCGUCUCCCCAAGCACCGCUCACCUGUGAGAUCACCGCCUGGCAGGGACGCCAGCACGGGCUCCCAGCCACAGGGCAGCUCCCACCCUGCGAACUCCAGCUCUUCCCAGGCCGCUCCAGAGGCCAGGCUGCACAAACACCUUGGCUAGUCUCCCCACCUGGCACAGGCCCUGUUCACUCCAACCACUGCCUUCUCUGAGCACACACCAAGUUGGAGCCCACAGCCAAGCAGCGGGCGGCCACGGGGGAUUCCUGCCUCCUGAGUCCUCAACUCUCUUGGCCCGGAGCUCACACCGGCAUUUCAGAUUUUCUCCUUCCCCCUGUUACCCCCGCCUUGCCAACCACCUCCCUGUGGACCUAAAGCCACCACCUUC